ACACGUCAGCAUAAACACGUGCCGGAGAAGGUGCUUCAGUGCUGGCCGCACACUCGACAUCGUGCGGUGGUGAUGCCGAUGCACUCACGCUUCCCCUUCGGAGUUUAUCUUUCUCAUUUAUCUUACAUCAAAUUAAUGUUUGCUUUUCUUACGUGCCGUGGGUUUUGGGACGGUAGCACAUCUCCCGUGUUCCAAAAACUGGUUCUGACCCACCUUAAAGCACCUUUCCAUCCAUGCGUCUAUCAAACGUAUCCCUUUUACGGUAAAGCAUUGCUUUCUAUACCUUCGCUGAAGGUGUGUUUGUGGUAAACCAUCCGGUAUACGGUGAGUUUCUUGAAGGAGCUGCACAAACAUCCCGGCAGCAGCAGCAGCAGCAGCAGCAUAACCGUAACUUUUUUAGCCCAUUACCCACUAUCCCAACUGUUAACCCCAACAGCACACGUCGGCUGCAGGUGAGUAGCUGCAACGGCUGCCAAACCAUUUGGGUGAAUAAAAUUAUCCAAAAAUGUAUUAUUUACGCUCAGUCACAACCAGAUACGCAUUCCCACCCAGUUCGGUGCUGAACUUCCGCACAGCUACCUACUUUCCCUUUUCUUCGUCUGCAGGAAAAGGUUUUCUUUCGAGGUUUUUACCGGGUAUGGUGAGCGUACUCUGUAUGACCGAAAAUUCACUCUCCAGGAAAGCGCAGCAUCCUAAAACAGCAAAAGUAAGCAAAAGAUUUGCGCUAGAGUUUCAACCUCAAGCUAGGAUUCACCGGAAGUCAGAGUGGUGAAAGAGAAUAAUAUUCGAAAUUAAAAUCAAAAACCCUCACAAAGCGCACAAAGGAACACGAAUUUUCGUGUUGCAAUCAGACAUUCUUAACUUUUCCACAGAAGCACCGCUUUGAGAUAGAGUAAUCCAUAUGCACGGUGGAAGAUGCAGUUGAACUAUUCUAAAAUUACUUUUGCACCGUGUCGGGUUUUGAAUGCGCUUGGCACAUGCAUCAGGAGUGGGAGAUGAUUUCAUUUUGGGUAAUAAAUUCAUCAGAAUUAGGAUUAUUGUUUUGACACGUUUCAUGCGUAGUUUUCCGAAUUUUCGAGCAUGUUUUGUAAAUUGAAUUCAUUUUGUGGAAGCCUAGGGUAGAAGCGUAGAGUAAUCGAUAGCACUUGUUUGGAUAGUCAAGCCCCGAUACUGGUAAAAGGGUCCGGAUGGGAUUCGAUCCCUGGUUCUACUGUUAAAUGCAUAUGUGUGUGUCCGUCAAGAGCCUAUCAAACAUCUCAACUACUAAAUUUCCUUACCUUAGGCGAAGAGAUUCAAAUGAUUUUAAAAAGCGCCGAAAGCUAUGCAAUUUCAUUUUUAAGCUUAGAACGUGCACUUAAAAUUUCCUUUUUUCAUCCGUAGUAAAAGUUUCAUAAAAAUGGCAGCAUUUCAAUGGAAAGACAAUAUAAUUUCUUAUUAAACACAAAAAUAAACAGAACGUCCUUUCCAUGUACAACCUCCUGUACAUGUUCACCAUCCUCAUGCACUAGAACCCAUAAAAUCGCUGUAAAAUUGAGCUCCGUGUUGAGUUGUUUACGUGGAAACGAGCAGUAACUGCAAACU
This is a long non-coding RNA of Anopheles stephensi (Asian malaria mosquito), 1581 nucleotides long. RefSeq lists it as uncharacterized. Lineage: Eukaryota; Metazoa; Arthropoda; Insecta; Diptera; Culicidae. The record is from RefSeq and is a predicted model, not a curated record. The transcript is spliced from 3 exons.